GUGGUCGUAUCAUAAUUGGACUAAUGAUCUUGACUGUGAUUCAAGAAGAUGCGGGUUCAACUCCCGUCGACCACCCCA
Molecule: transfer RNA, 78 nt
Filed under: Pectobacterium phage DU_PP_V
Lineage: Duplodnaviria; Heunggongvirae; Uroviricota; Caudoviricetes; Demerecviridae
Description: tRNA-His
Rfam family: tRNA
About the family: Transfer RNA (tRNA) molecules are approximately 80 nucleotides in length. Their secondary structure includes four short double-helical elements and three loops (D, anti-codon, and T loops).
Source: RNAcentral